UACGUAGGGAGCAAGCGUUGUUCGGAUUUACUGGGCGUAAAGGGCGCGUAGGCGGUCGUGACAAGUCACUUGUGAAAUCUCCGGGCUUAACUCGGAACGGUCAAGUGAUACUGUCGUGCUAGAGUACAGAAGGGGCAACUGGAAUUCUCGGUGUAGCGGUGAAAUGCGUAGAUAUCGAGAGGAACACCCGUGGCGAAGGCGGCUCUCUGGUACGUGACUGACGCUGAGACGCGAAAGCGUGGGGAGCAAACAGG
Molecule: ribosomal RNA, 254 nt
Filed under: uncultured bacterium
Lineage: Bacteria
Description: partial 16S ribosomal RNA
Rfam family: Bacterial small subunit ribosomal RNA
Source: RNAcentral